Molecule: ribosomal RNA, 373 nt
Filed under: uncultured bacterium
Lineage: Bacteria
Description: bacterial SSU rRNA
Rfam family: Bacterial small subunit ribosomal RNA
Source: RNAcentral
GGGGGGAGCAAGCGUUGUUCGGAUUUACUGGGCGUAAAGGGCGCGUAGGCGGUCAGCACAAGUCAGUUGUGAAAUCUCCGGGCUUAACUCGGAAAGGUCAACUGAUACUGUGCGACUAGAGUGCGGAAGGGGCAACUGGAAUUCUCGGUGUAGCGGUGAAAUGCGUAGAUAUCGAGAGGAACACCUGCGGCGAAGGCGGGUUGCUGGGCCGACACUGACGCUGAUGCGCGAAAGCCAGGGGAGCGAACGGGAUUAGAUACCCCGGUAGUCCUGGCCUUAAACGAUGGAUGCUUGGUGUCUGGGGUUUUAUAGUCCCCGGGUGCCGUAGCUAACGCGUUAAGCAUCCCGCCUGGGGAGUACGGUCGCAAGACUG